This 465-nucleotide ribosomal RNA is filed under the name uncultured bacterium. RNAcentral describes it as "partial 16S ribosomal RNA". It matches the Rfam family "Bacterial small subunit ribosomal RNA", at positions 28 to 507 of the family's 1533-position model. The record is from RNAcentral.
GACGAACGCUGGCGGCGUGCUUAACACAUGCAAGUCGAACGGAAAGGCCCCGUUGUUGCUACUCGGAUGGCGACCGGGUGCGUAACAGGUAAGUAACCUGCCCUUGCCUUCGAGAUAGGUUCAGGAAACUGGAACUAAUACCGGUAAGGAAUCCUUUCUGCAUGGGGGGGGUUGGAAAGCUUCGGCGGGUUUUGCUGUACUGGAGGCGUAUCAGCUUGUUGGUGGGGUAGUGGCUUACCGAGGCGUUGACGGGUAGCCGGCCUGAGGGGGCGACCGGCCACAGUGGGACUGAGAGACGGCACAGACACCGACGGGAGGGAGAAGGGGGGAAUACUGCACAAGGGGCGGAAGGCGGAUGAAGCAAGGCCGCGGGCGGGAUGACGGUCUUAGGGUGGUAAACCGCAUUUAGCAGGGGCGAAGCUUGUGGUGACGGUACCUGCAGAAGAAGCACCGGCUAACUACGUG